GUCUCGAUCUCCUGACCUCGUGAUCCACCCGUCUCGGCCUCCCAAAGUGCUGGGAUUACAGGCUUGAGCCACCGUGCCCGGCUAUUCAAGAACUAUUAUUUGAGGAUGGACCACAUCCCAGGCACUGUGCUAUGUCCUGGAAACACAUCGUAGAGACGGGGUUUCACCGUGUUAGCCAGGAUGGUCUCGAUCUCCUGACCUUGUGAACUGCUCGUCUCGGCCUCCCAAAGUGCUGGGAUUACAGCCUUGGUCUUUCCUCUGACCCUGAGCGGCCUGGCUUGCAGUGCUGAGGCACCUUCCGGCUGCUGAGAAUUGGACCACUCUGUCGUCUUGCUGACUGCGGCAGAGGAACACCCAGGGUCUGACAAUCACCUCUACGAGAGCAGCUUGGAUGUUUCUCAGCUUUCACUUGACUUUAUUAUCCCUUCACUUACAAAAUAGAUAUAUAUUUUAGAAACAGAGUCUCCCUCACUGUGUUGCCCAGGUUGGACUCAAACUUCUGGGCUCAAGUGAUCCUCCCACCUCAGCCUUCCAAGUGGCUGGAUUACAAGCAUGUGCCACCACAUCCUGCUCAUCCUGUCAGUUUUUAGCCCAGAAAGCUGGCACUAAAAGGGAUGGUAGAUUUGAGGGAUUUUUAGAUGGAAGACAAUUUAGAUGACUCUGCACUGUAUUAUAAUCAAAUAUCCUGCAACUUUUAUUCCUAGAAGAAACUUGUGCAUCCUGAAUCUCUAACCCCUGGGAGUACAUUUUUUCCCCCAGCACCUUACCUAGGAAUGGUUACUAGGGUUAAGGGUUCUCAGUCUUGGUGGCCAAAGGCCAACACCUGUUCAUUUAUCUCCUAUCUUGU
Long non-coding RNA from Rhinopithecus roxellana (golden snub-nosed monkey), 847 nucleotides. RefSeq lists it as uncharacterized. The record is from RefSeq and is a predicted model, not a curated record. The transcript is spliced from 3 exons. Lineage: Eukaryota; Metazoa; Chordata; Mammalia; Primates; Cercopithecidae.